Macadamia integrifolia is the source of this 950-nucleotide long non-coding RNA. RefSeq lists it as uncharacterized. The transcript is spliced from 2 exons. The record is from RefSeq and is a predicted model, not a curated record. Lineage: Eukaryota; Viridiplantae; Streptophyta; Magnoliopsida; Proteales; Proteaceae.
UUUUUGUAAAGGUUUCAAGGCAUAUCAAUCAAUCCCGGUUCUUUGGGACAGAUUUGAUUAAUAAAAGAUGAGAGUUUUCUCCAAGGCUGUGAGGGUCGAAUGAGGGGUGGGAUGCCCAAACCAAUUUGAGGGGUGCGAGGUCCAGGAAGAAGGUUGUUAAGAAUGCAGUUGAGUUUCUUACAAGGACCAACUUCCCCCAGAAGUGCUGCUGCUGUUGCCGACUCAGAAUACCAAUCGACAACCUUAAAGUAGGGUUUUUCAGGUCAGGACAUUGAGCUCUCAUAAGUCCCUGAUCCCUACUCUACUACAACACCUGUUUUAGGGUUUUGUUUAGCACCGUAAAAUGGUCUUUGACCUGAAGAAUGAAGCCAAUUGACACCUGUGGCUACUGUUUUGAAAUUUCCAGAAAUUCUCUAUUUUGACUUAAAAUCAAGAAAUGCCACAACUUACUCUACGGCCAUCAGCUAAGGCUCUAAUUUUGAGGUUCAAUUAAGAGGCCUACCGUGGAGACUUUACCAGCAUUGGAGGUUGACAUAUGCACCUUCAUAGCCUGAUGAUAUAUGCCGUAGGUUGGGCUAUCUUGCAUAUACUGAAGAUUCCACUUAUAAAGUUACAAUGGGUCGGCAUAUGCACCUUCACAGCCUGAUAUAUGCCUGCUACGCCAAGCAGUUACAAUGGGUUGACUCAUGCACCUUCACAGCCUGAUGAUGUAUCUUGCAUAUAUUGAUGAUUCCACUUAUGAAGUUACUGUGAUGGACUUUGAGAGAUUCUUAGUGCAGAGGAUGACAUUUCCGUCAUAUGUUGUAGAGUCUGAGCAUCAGUUCCACCGGUCCCCAAGGAAAACCUAGUGAUUUUGAUUCUCCCCGUAACAAUAUAUGGUAUUGACGUAGGCCUAGGGAUGUAAACUUGUAAUCAAACAAUGGAAAAAUUUUACUUAUUGCUUAUGACAA